Molecule: long non-coding RNA, 253 nt
Filed under: Setaria viridis
Lineage: Eukaryota; Viridiplantae; Streptophyta; Magnoliopsida; Poales; Poaceae
Description: long non-coding RNA (SVIR_LNC005360)
Source: RNAcentral
GAGGAUCUGGAUCAUUGUCUCGAUUUGAUUGUUCACCGAGUUCACCUAGGAGAAGGGAGGAUAAAGAGCGUAAAUUGCAGAUGAGAAUUGAUUCAGAACAGUCGAUUUAGAACAAGAUUGCAGGGUGAUACCUGAUUGACUGAUGAAAAGGAGGCCAUCUUGGUUGUUUGGAUUCGGUCUGGUUUGAGAAAAUUGUGGAGGGAUAGAGUUUGUGCAAUUUUGUGAAUGCGUUCAAGGGGGGCAUUGGUGCUCA